CCGUCAUUAACUCAAUUGGAAGAGUAUUUAAUUUUAACAAAAUUAAAAGUCGAGGUUCGAUGCCUCGAUGACGGACCA
RNAcentral lists this transfer RNA (78 nucleotides) under Providencia burhodogranariea DSM 19968. RNAcentral's name for it is "tRNA-OTHER". It matches the Rfam family "tRNA". Rfam says of the family: Transfer RNA (tRNA) molecules are approximately 80 nucleotides in length. Their secondary structure includes four short double-helical elements and three loops (D, anti-codon, and T loops). Lineage: Bacteria; Pseudomonadati; Pseudomonadota; Gammaproteobacteria; Enterobacterales; Morganellaceae. The record is from RNAcentral.